GUCUGUUGUUAUGCUGCAUGUGACUGACAAACACGACACGCGUUCAGGUGCACACUAUUACCGUGUGCAAACAAACACCGCUGUUUGUGUGCAAACACACAAGCAUCGCUGUUUGCGCGGGACCGCCCCGGAGAGCCGCGUCCCACCAGCCGGCCCGCAGGCCGGCGGCUUUGCGUGGCCUUGCGGCCGAUUUGUUAAUGAUCCUUCCGCAGGUUCACCUACGGAAA
RNAcentral lists this unclassified non-coding RNA (227 nucleotides) under uncultured fungus. Its description in RNAcentral is "sequence contains ITS1". The record is from RNAcentral. Lineage: Eukaryota; Fungi.